Molecule: transfer RNA, 67 nt
Filed under: Johnius belangerii (Belanger's croaker)
Lineage: Eukaryota; Metazoa; Chordata; Actinopteri; Sciaenidae
Also listed under: 1 other name
Description: tRNA-Ser
Source: RNAcentral
GAGAGAGGCUGGCAGCAGCGAAAAUUGCUAAUUUUUGUUACCUUGGUUAGAUUCCAAGGCUCACUCG